ACUCUCCAAGCUCAUCCAAUUGCUCUUCCUUCCGCCAUCUUUUUCUUCCCCGAACCAAGCUCUCUGUUUCUCGCCGAUUUCGUCGCCCUCGCGCGAUCUUGGUUCGAUUCCUCGCACACACAUCACCAGCAGCCCUAUCUCGACCGAUUCGAAGAGUUUCUAGCCCUGCCAUCGACCACAGCCGCUAGCUCGCCAUCGUCUUCUUCCUCUGGCCACCAACGAGCAUUGAAGCUAGGUCACCGAAUCGGAAGUCGCGGACGUCAGCGUCGAAUACAUCGAGCUGCCACCCGAGAGACCCGCAGGAGGAGAAGAGGUGAUCGUGAUCGAGCACGAGCCCGAGCUCCAAGCCGAAGUCCCACCUCCCGAGGCUGAUCAAGGCAAGCACCGGAACAUCUAUGCCCACUAAUUUUAAUUAACUUAUGUUAUUACUUAUGUACUGCAUUUGAAUUGCUUAAGUCUAGGAGUUGUUUGAAACCCAAUUGAUGCAUGUUCAACAUCCUUGAUUUAAGGACAUCUUUGCCACCUUCUCAACUAGAUAGAUCAAACCAAAAUGUCUAAAAGGAAUCCACGCUAAAAGCAACCAAAGGUCCAGAUAUUACUUGAAGGUUCACCUGAUAAAACCAGACAAUGGUUGGCAAGUAUGAUGAUCGUUGAGUAUAGAGCAGAAGAGGAGUUCUGGUCUGUCCUCACUUUCAAAGAAAGAAAUAAGGAACUAUGGUAUAUUUAACCUUGAUCAGACGUUGAACAAACUGGUCAUAUGCUGACAUAUGGAACCAGUAAGCCCGGUAGCUUGGUCGACCUAAAUACUUGAACUGAGUGUUACCACACCUGGCGUGGGAAGUUGGCGGGGUCGUAGCCUGAAACCCGUGUCGUGAUCAAGCCCGACGAGGGAUCCUUCACGGGGGUGUGAACCCGGGUCUGGGUAUGCUUGGUUCAGGGUUUAGUAUCCUCCUCGUGAAAGAUUGCCAUGUACAAUUUACCGGAAACUGUGCGUGACGUGUGCCCAGUUAUCUCCUGCAGGAUGUAAAUUGAUUCGAAUCGCCGCAAUUCUCGGAUAUGAAUGCUGUUUGAUCUCACUUAAACAUCGUAUCCAAUUACGAUGUGACCAGUAUACAAGAAGUUGCUUGUGAACAUAGAGUUAUCAUGAUGGCUAUGAAUUAGAUUUAUUCUUGGGUCUAGUGUCUAUAUAUGAGUCUCGGUUUAGGAAGUUGCUGUUUUGGAGUCCAAAUGUUUGAACAAUGAGCCAGUCCACCAAAUACAACCUUGCAUGCUCCUUGAUCCUAUAUAUAUUUAUACUUGUGUAGUCGGGUCAGUCUUGUUGAGUACCUUUUUGUACUCAGUGUUUGUGCUUAAAUGUUUUUAGCAGCGCCGUCGGAGGAGCAUCAGGAGUAAAGCACCAAGAAUCGGAGAGUAUGUUGAGUCCAUACAUCUCUGAAUGUUUUAUAAACUCGUUGUAAUAUAUAAACUUAUGGCAAUAAUCCCUAGGACUGUAGGUGUACUCCUUAAAAACUCUGUAGAGUUGGUAUGCAUUAAGUUCGCUCUUAUAUUGUAAUAACACUUUCCUAGUUUUAUGUUCUACAAUAAAUGCCUGUGUGUAAUA
Molecule: long non-coding RNA, 1600 nt
Organism: Panicum virgatum (switchgrass)
Lineage: Eukaryota; Viridiplantae; Streptophyta; Magnoliopsida; Poales; Poaceae
Exons: 2
Source: RefSeq, a predicted model, not a curated record